AAAACAUAUAUUUUAUAUUUAAUUAAAUUUUUAUAUAAACGAGUUCGAGUAAGGAAUACCCUACAUGUAAACUCGAAUUCGACCCGAACCCUUAAUGGGUACUAUUUUUUAAACAUGAAUCCGAUUAUGUCAUACCCAAACUGACCUAUUAGGUUCAGUCGGAUCGGGACCCACAAAAACCUGAUCCAAUGCCAUCCCUAAGUGGGACAAGUAAAAUUGUGGUUGAGCUAUAUGUGCAAAGGUCUUUCAUUGCAACAGAUGAGGUUAAGAGAACUUUAUUUAACAAUGUGAUUUAUAAUCUGAGGUUUGCAUGUAGAGGCCUAUUUGGCAGUAUAAGAAAGAGAAAACAAAAAUAUGAUUAAACUGGAUGGAGUUGCCAGUUGUUUGAAAAGCUUUUUGUAGACUUGCAUUUAAAAGGAAGGGUGGAUCAGAGUUUAAUCUUUAUGUUGAUCUGAAUAUUUAAGAAAUAAGUGCAAGAUGUUCAUCAUUUUACUAUUUUGUUGUCUUGUGUUUCAGCCAGUUCCUCUGUUGUUUCUUUAUAUUUGAAGAUUUAAUGUUUCUUGAUAUUUGAAGAUAAAUAAAAAUGAUGGGAGCAGUAUGAUAAUGCCUUUAGUAUUUAAUGUUUCUCUGAGAAUGAUACAAAAUUAGGAAUGAUAAUAGGGUGCUAGGCUAAUUUGCUUUUAUUGUUUGAAUGCUUUGAAGCAGUUUAGACUGAUGAAGACUCUCUAAUUAUUUUAAUCUGAGGCAGAGUGCAAAGAAACCAGUGUAUGUUGUAUGUACUAGGACAGUGUGCCAAUGUAUUUAAUUUUUGUAUUUGCUGAUUAAGGAUCUGUAAUUAUUUUUCUUUGACUUGUUCUUAAGCUAGUUCAUCAUUUUGGGCAGGGUCACGAAGGCAGAUUCUCUGUUUAUGUGCAUGCCUCCAAGGAAAAACCUGUUCAUGUGAGCCAUUAUUUUGUUAAUAGGGAUGUACACAGUGACCAGGUUAGUAUAUUUGUUGUCUGUCUGUCAUUUUGGUUUAACUAUAAUAUACAUAGUCAUCAUUUUCAUUUCUAUUUUAAUGUCUCUCACUUAUAAAUUUGGGCAUAGAAGAAAAACAAAAAUAAAGCAAAUUCAAUGCCUUUCUACAGUUUUCAUUUGUUGCAGUUGCUUUAACAACUUGCAGCAUCCUAAUAUUACAAUUAUGGCCUGAAAAUAUGUGAUAAUUCUACAAUUCAUUCCCAGUAGGGACAGAAUUUGUAUCAGCAACAGCAAAUUCUUCAGGCCCCUUUGGUUUGGAGUUGACCUUCUGUUUGAUGAUGAUAAUCGAUGAACAAUGUCAUCAAUGAAGCUGUUAUUUGAGCUAUGAAGCUGCAGAACAAAUUUUGAUAGAGUGAUUAGUUAAUUUAAAGUAGGCAAAAAAAAAUUGCAUGGAAACACACCAACAGUAAUGGGUGCUCAAUUUCACUGACAAUAAUCAAACUUCAACAGCAAAAUUAUUCAAUUAUAAUUUUUGUUGUAAUUAAAUCAUUAUUGUACAUGAUAACCAAGUAAACUUUUCAAAUGUACUUCUAGUGGCUCUAGAAUUGCCAUACUUAAUCAUCACAAAAAUUUGGCUAAAACUCUUGAAAUUUAGCAAUUGUGACUUUAUUGAAUCAAAAUUCUGUUGUUAUUUGUUCUUCCAAGUUGUACAUGUCAAAUUUAAUUUAAUUGUCUAAUAUUCAAGGGAGAUGUGGCAAUAGUCUUCUUGGGAAUUUGUGGUUGAUGCAUCAUGCUAACAUUGCUUAUGUAACCAGAAAGGGGAUGCAUGUGGGGCUUCAUUUUUAUCAAUGUCACGUGAUAAGAUGAAAACUAUAUUUAUUAUUAUAGUUUCUUAUGACUGCUGAUGGGGAUAUGGAUAUAAUAUAAUUCUUGCAUAAUUCUAUAGGAUGGUGAUCCAAUAAGUGGAGAGUCAUAACUGCUAUUAAUUAUUUUUGCAGGUGGUGUGGGGAAAAAUUUCAAUGGUUGAUGCAGAGAGACGACUUUUAGGAAAUGCACUUAAAGAUCCUGACAACCAGCAUUUUGUUUUACUUUCUGAUAGUUGCGUGCCAUUGCAUAACUUUGAUUAUGUCUACAACUAUCUGAUGUACACAAAUAUAAGCUUCGUUGAUUGCUUUUAUGAUCCUGGACCACAUGGGAAUGGUCGGUAUUCAGAGCAUAUGUUGCCUGAAAUUGAGAAGAAAGACUUCAGAAAGGGUGCACAGUGGUUCUCAAUGAAGCGACAACAUGCUGUGAUUGUUAUGGCUGAUAGUCUUUACUAUUCUAAAUUCCGGGAGUACUGCAAGCCUGGUCUGGAAGGCAAAAAUUGCAUAGCUGAUGAACAUUAUUUGCCGACAUUUUUCCAUAUGGUUGACCCUAGUGGAAUUGCAAAUUGGUCUGUUACACAUGUUGAUUGGUCUGAGAGAAAGUGGCAUCCAAAAUCUUAUAGGGCUCAAGAUAUUACUUAUGAUCUUCUGAAGAACAUUACGGUAUUGGUCUUCACUUCUAAGUAACUGCAUCUUAUUAUGUGCCUUCAGAGGCCCACUCAUAUUCUUGUGGGCUAAAAUACUUUUCAGUAACAAGGUUUUUUUUUUUCCCUCCCCCUUCAAACAAGAAUGUGUAUGAUUUGAUUGGUGAUCAGAAUUUCAUGGUGUGUAUUGUUACUUUAUUUUAGUUUUGACAUGGUUGGCUUUGUUAAGCCAAUGUUAAGUUUUGCUAGUUAUAAUUCUUAUGGACUGAGAUAAUGAGACUUAAAUGGUUUAUCUGUUUGCAGUCAAUUGACCUGAGUAUACAUGUGACAAGCGAUGACAGGGUACAAGUUUAAAAUCAUUACUCUUAUAUUCUCGGUCAUUAUUGGCUAGACUCUAGAUUUUAUUCGCAUGCAUAUAUUUGUAUCCUUCUCUUGGCUUUUGCAGAAGGAGGUGCAGGUACAGCCAUGCUUAUGGAAUGGUAUCCAACGACCGUGCUACUUAUUUGCGAGGAAAUUCUACCCAGGAGCUAUUGAUAACCUCUUGCAGCUUUUCUCCAAUUAUACAACAAUUUGAGUGAGAUAAUUUUGACUAAAUUCUUUGGUCGAAUCGACAGUUCUUUUCGACCCACACCCCCCCAACCCCCCGGCCAAAAAAAAACUCCAUCUUGGUAUCUUCUUAUAUCUUAAAAAUUUGUAAAUGGUGCAUCAAUGAGGCGUGAAACGUUCCCUAGCACGGUUCUUGUGUGUGCAUGGGCAACCAGGAGAGCAGGCAGGUAGGGUUACUUAGUUGGCGUGGAGGCUAACAGCUUAGUGUUGCUUCCUUUAGAGGGGUGGAUGAUUUGUUGUCCAUUUAUUUCUCCAUUUAGGGCUAUUGAUGUUCCACUUUGGGUAUAGAAAAUUUUGUAAAAGUUGAAAAAUGUGGACUAGCAAAUACAACAACAUUUGAAAAUUAUCCAAAGCUGUGUAAAUUAGGGGGAAAAAAGAAUUGAGAUUGUAUAUUAACUUUUGGCCAGUUACCAUUUUAAAUUCAAAUUUCUUUAGAUUUCCA
RNAcentral lists this unclassified non-coding RNA (3512 nucleotides) under Hevea brasiliensis (rubber tree). Lineage: Eukaryota; Viridiplantae; Streptophyta; Magnoliopsida; Malpighiales; Euphorbiaceae. The record is from RNAcentral.